This 59-nucleotide transfer RNA is filed under the name Urocitellus parryii (Arctic ground squirrel). RNAcentral's name for it is "Spermophilus parryii (Arctic ground squirrel) tRNA". It matches the Rfam family "tRNA", at positions 7 to 64 of the family's 71-position model. Rfam says of the family: Transfer RNA (tRNA) molecules are approximately 80 nucleotides in length. Their secondary structure includes four short double-helical elements and three loops (D, anti-codon, and T loops). The record is from Rfam by way of RNAcentral. RNAcentral also lists the same sequence under 1 other name. Lineage: Eukaryota; Metazoa; Chordata; Mammalia; Rodentia; Sciuridae.
GUGGCUCAGUAGUAGAGUGCUUGCCUGACAUGUAUGAGGCACUGGGUUCAAUUCUCAGC